GAACGGCGAUCUAGCUUUUUCGGAUCGUAGUGGCGAAAGGGUGAGUAACACGUGGGAUACCUACCCUAGGGUUUGGGAUAACCUGUCGAAAGAUGGGCUAAUACCGGAUACGUUUUCGUACUUUCGAGUACGAAAGGAAAGUUAGGGACUUCUUCGGAAGCCUGACACCCUUGGAUGGGCCCGCGGCCUAUCAGCUAGUUGGUGAGGUAAUGGCUCACCAAGGCUAAGACGGGUAGCUGGUCUGAGAGGAUGGUCAGCCACACUGGAACUGAGACACUGUCCAGACAUCUACGGAUGGCUGCAGUCGAGAAUCUUUCGCAAUGGGGGAAACCCUGACGAAGCGACGCCGCGUGCAGGAUGAAGGUCUUCGGAUCGUAAACUGCUGUCGGCUGGGAAGAAAAGCCUUUUACUAAUAUCAAAAGGUCUUGACGGUACCAGCAAAGGAAGCCACGGCUAACUCUGUGCCAGCAGCCGCGGUAAUACAGAGGUGGCAAGCGUUGUUCGGAUUUAUUGGGCGUAAAGGGUCCGUAGGCGGUUUGAAAAGUCAGAUGUGAAAGCCCACAGCUUAACUGUGGAACUGCAUUUGAAACUUUCAGACUAGAGUGUGGGAGGGGUGAAGGGAAUUCCCGGUGUAAGGGUGAAAUCUGCAGAGAUCGGGAGGAACACCAGUCGCGAAGGCGCUUCACUGGCCCACUACUGA
RNAcentral lists this ribosomal RNA (700 nucleotides) under uncultured bacterium. RNAcentral's name for it is "bacterial SSU rRNA". It matches the Rfam family "Bacterial small subunit ribosomal RNA", at positions 64 to 743 of the family's 1533-position model. The record is from RNAcentral.